CUCAAGCUCAUGGGGAAGCUUUCCUUCUCUUUCACCUGCCCUCCAUCACUGAUGCCGCCCACGGCCUUUUCAACGCCAACACCCAACUCAGUAAACUCGACGUCGACCACGGCCCCGACGUCGACCGCCGACUCUUGUUGGGCUUUCGAGUUUCAUCUGUUUUCCUCACCCAAGCUCCCAUUUCAUCCAUGUUCUCGCGAGUCCACCACACCUGCAACUCCCUCCUAAAGGCUUCUGGCCUAAUCAUUUAUGUUGCGGAGCUAACAAGAAAUCAAAGAUAACUGUUAAAGAAAUUUACAGCUUCCUAAUGGAUCAUAGAAGUGAAGGACAGCCCGAUUUCAAGUGGAUUUGGAAGACAUCAAUGUCCCCCAAAGUUGACAUCUUCUGUGAUGAUGUUGCUUUUGCAUCGAAGAAUUGGCCAGAAGUCCCAUGGUUGUUUAAGCAUCUGUAAUUGCCAGCACGGUGGAAUGAAGUUGCAUUCUUGAACUCCUUUUACAUUUUCAGAACAUUCACAAGGCAUGGCCGAAAGAUGGAGUUCACAUCAGAUCAGUGCUGGAUUGAGGUGACAUUGAUGGCACAUUGUUUACCUGGAUUUGUAAAAUCCUACUUGCUAGAAACUGUUGCAACUUUUUGCUAAUUGCCGUGCCAUUCCCAGUUGAUGCACGUAGUAUCUACUCACCCACAUGCUCAAUGAAGCCAAUCUGCUGGAUUUUCACGAAAAAUAGAAUUCUUGUUUUCCUCUAGACACUUGAUUGGGUUUCGAGAGACAUCAAAUUUGCCCUUGGGUGUAUAUAUAUAUUUAUAGAAGGUAGUUGUGAGUUUCCAUGUUGGCACAUGUUUACUCUUACAUCCAUUGUACAUUGGAGAGAUUGGAUCCUUAUAAAGGACAAAGGAACUAAAAUAACACCUUAAAGCUAGUCUUCUUAGGUAAGGCCCUCAAAUUGUCAUAAAUGCUAUCAAAGUAGACUCGAUUAAUAGCCUUUGUAUGACUAAGAGACAUUGCAAUACAAAUCUUUUUGGAUUGACCAAGGAUCAUUCAUAAUGCUUAUGACUGUAAUUGAUUGGAUUUAGCUCGUAACUUAAUGAGAAUGCCAAAGUUUAAAAGCUGAAUAUGUAUGAGAACCCAUGCAAGGCAUGUACUUAAUCCUAGAUGGAUUAUAUGUUGACAAAAUCAUAUAUAUUUGUACAAAAAUAAAAAAUCUAAUAAUACCUUAUGGCUAAUUUUUUAGUAAAAUCAUCAUACUUUAUUAAAAAGCAAUUAAAGUUAAGAAAUUUCAAUUCCUAAAAAAUAUG
This is a non-coding RNA of Phoenix dactylifera (date palm), 1293 nucleotides long. Lineage: Eukaryota; Viridiplantae; Streptophyta; Magnoliopsida; Arecales; Arecaceae. The record is from RefSeq and is a predicted model, not a curated record.